RNAcentral lists this long non-coding RNA (10915 nucleotides) under Nicotiana tabacum (common tobacco). RNAcentral describes it as "long non-coding RNA (NTAB_LNC008877)". Lineage: Eukaryota; Viridiplantae; Streptophyta; Magnoliopsida; Solanales; Solanaceae. The record is from RNAcentral.
UAAUUUCUAGGCCUAUACCCCUAACCUAAUUCAUACCCCCUAUAAAAUAACACUAACACCCUAGACUCUACACACAACCCAAUCUGCCACUUCUCUGAAAAGAUGGAAGAAAAGAAAAAAACAAAAAAUAAAACACCUAUCUUCACACAAAUGACAAUCAGCCAAAAAAAUGAAACAAAAAAGAACGAAAACCUAAGGAAAAGUUGAAGGGGCAGCCCCGUUUUCUUAAAAACUUUUUCCAUCUGCAAUUCCAAACAAAGAGAAGCCUUCCGCCGUUUUUUUCAACCCAAACACAAUAGACCCACCAUUUUCCAAAAGCUUCAGCCGAUUCCAAAAUUGUAAAAUCUCAAAGCUUUAUUCUCCCAAUUUACGGAAGCCCACGCACACAAAUAUAACAAAAACAAAGAUAAGAAAAGCAGGUAGCGAAAUAGAAACGGAAAAUACAAAGAGGAGAUGAAUUGACAGUGAAAGACAACACUUUGGAACAGAGGAAUCCAUUGAUUUUCUCGUUAUUAAAACCAUUAGAACAAAGGGCUUCCAAGGUCUUUCUUAAAGUGAGAAAUCAAUUCGAGGAUGAGCAACAAAAAAAUACGAUUUGGUUGAGAGAUCCGAUUUUUGAAAAUCUGGUAGUCGAGUUCCUAUUCGAGGCCGUAGGUUCGUUGGUUCUAUUGAUUGUUCGCGGUUUCUGUCGCCGAUUUGGAGUAUUUUCAGUUGAGUUAGCGGCAUCAGAUUCAUUUGUGACUAUUGGAUUUUCUCUUGUUUAAUAAAAAAGUCUCACACCAGAGGUUCCACUCUUAUCCUUCUCUUAUUUCAAGUUUAAAUCCAUGUGUUGUUAUGUGAUAUUAAACAUGAUAUUAACCCAUUGUCUUCUAAUUCUUCUGGGUUCAAAUUCUUGAUGAAGUCAGUAGAAAUUUGGAGUAUUAUACAAAGUUAUAAAAAUCUGUUUUCCUUAUGAGUUUUAAUUUAUAAGAAAUUUCAAAGAUUUGCUCUAGGUGAAGCUUUGGUCAAGGGUAUCUUGAUUUAUUUAGUUCUGACCAUUUUACUCCAUAGUUUUUAUUUUUAUUUUUUGGAUUUCUAUUAAAGGUUAAUUUAGUUCCUAUUAUUUCUAAAAUCAUUUUCUCACUGCCAAAGGGAAUGAUAAGUAGUGUAUUGAAUUUUGUUCGUAUGGAAUUUAAAAUUCACAUAGUUAUUAUGCCUAAUUUCCAAAAUUUGGAGGUACAUUUCCUGUGACCCGAUUAAAACAACUUCGAAUAAUAAAACCUUUUGAAAUAAAUUGAGGCUUGCCAUGCCAAAAAUAAAAUCACUAAGUCCAUGGCCCUCAUAAAACUAGCUAGCUUUUAUAGAAAAUUUGAGGUGUAUCAUUUUCAUUAAAUAACCCAUGGCCCUCAUGUAAUUCAUAAUAACUCUUUUCAAAAUCGACGUGCACCAUCAAUUGAAUUUUUCAUGGCCCUCUCAAACGUUGUUAUUAAUUUGAACCUUCGUAGUUGCUGUAGGCGCGUUCUUUAAAUUGAUUUUCUUUUAAUUACUAAAUUCGGGUGUACAAUUCAUGUGACCCAAUUUCAACUCUUAAUAAUGUUAAAUAGAGCGUGUCACGAACCGCGGGUGCAUUUCAAGUGGUGUGGUUCAAGGCAUGUUUUAAAUAACGUUGAAUCUUCCUAAAAGCGUUUUAAAAUAAUUAAAAGCGGUUAAUAAGCUAAAAAUGAACAAUAGGUUAAAACAUGUAAUAAAUCGGAUAAUAGGCCAAUUUUAAUAGUUUAAGCGACCGUGAUAGAAACACGGAACCUGGAAAUGCCUAACACCUUCUCCCGGGUUAACAAAAUUCCUUAUCUAGAAUUUCUGGCUCGCAAACGUUAAAAAUAAAAGUCGAAUUUCCUCGAUUUGGGAUUUUAAUCUAAACUGGUGACUUAGAACACCAAAUAAACUAUUUCAAGUGGCGAUUCUAAUAAACAAAAUAAUUCCAUUUCGAAUAAUGUCACUUUAAUUGGAAAAACUCUCUUAUAUACCCUUCAGGUGUGUAAAAAGGGAGGCGUGAUAGCUCUGGCGACUCUGCUGGGGAGAAGAACCCAGAAUCUCUGGUUCAGGGUUCAAGAAUUCGAGCUUAGAAUAAUUGUUAUAUUUAGCUUUAUUUAUUAUCUGAUUUUAUUACAUGUUUGAGCCUAAUGUGCUAAAUGUCAUUAUUUUACCGCUUUGAUAUUAUUUGAACUGUAUAUAAACUGUUAUGAAACCCUUCUCUUCUCAUCUUCGGGGAACUGCACGUUGGCAUGACUCCUUUUCUAUUACUGUCAUACCAUAAAUUGGAAAGAGGCUCGGACAAGUUACAAAGCCAGAUGGCUUUUUGGUUCCCGGUACGUAGCCCCCCCCUGCUCGAGUUGUCCACUCGGGUACACAUGUCUAGAACAACAUACUCAGGUAUUGAACUUAGAAUAACUCAGCAUCAUGCCGGAUCCCUAGUAGGAACGCUGGUUUGCAUUAUGUGCAUUUGACUUUGGGGACCCAACAUAGGGUUGGGUCCAUCUAGGACAAGUGUACCCAAAUUAAAAGACCAUCCUGAUGCAUCUUACAUGCUACUUGCGUAUCUGUCUGUUUCGGCUUGCAUGUUGACUGGCUUCUAGAAUAGGGAAAGAAAAUGGAAAAAAAAAGAAAAAAGAAAAAAGAAAAGAGAAUGAGAGGUAGGUAUUUGAAAUAUCAUGAAACUCUGCCGAAAUUUUGAUAAAAAGAAAAGUCAUUUCGAAAUAAGUCAAUUUCUAUUCCGUCAAAAACUGGCGAACUAUGCGGGUCUGAUUCUCACCGGAUGUGAGAUACGUAGGCAAACCUCAUCGGUUCCGGCCCACCAUUUUCAAAAAAUCCAAAAAUAUUUUCCGUUACUUGCUUCUUUAGAAUGUCUUUCUUUUAGACCCCAAUUUCUAAAAAAAUACAAAAAAAAAAUCUUUUAAUUUCUUCUAAAAAUAAAAAAAAAAUCAUUCUUCUUUAGAAAUUUUUCUUUCGAAAAUUGAAAAGAAAAUUCAAGAUUCAAAAAUAUUUUUUUAGAAGUCUUUCUUUCAUAAUUUUAACAUAAAAGUCCAAAAAUUUAAAAAAAAAUCUUUCUUCUUUAGAAGUUUUUCUUUCGAAAUUCCAAAUAUAAAAAUCGAAGUCAAAAAAUAUCUUCUUUCUUUUUUAUAAGUCUUUCUUUCGAAAAUUAAAAAAAAACAAUAAAAUUCAAAAUCCAAUAAAAGAAAAAAAAGAUUCAGUUUAUUUCCUUUAUUCCCGAUCUUCCCGAACUACGCAAGAUCUGAUUCAUGUUUCCAUAUGAUAUGUAGGUAACCCACAUCAGGUUCGAUCACCAUUAAAUAAAUAAAAAACAAAAGUGAAAAAAUGUUGAUAAUAAUAAGGACUGACUGAGUCCAUUCUAACGUGUCUUUGUUUUGAAUUGUGAAGAAAGUUUGAGGUGGUUAGUUUGUGGCAAGCAGACAGCACAAGAUCCAAGGAAAAAUGAUAACUGACAUCGAAGCUAUUACAAGUGCUCAAGAGACUCAGGGUCAGAGGGUUCGACAAGAGUCUACUAUGUGUGAGGAAAAUAGAAUACUGAAAUAGCAAAUGACCAAAAUGUGCCAAGCAUGGGCCAAUGGCAAAGGACAGCCUUGUCAUAAGUCACAAUUUGCUACCCGGCAAGAGCAGUACCACUCUUCUGAGUACCACUCAUAUCUAUUUGAUUUUCCUACAAAGAUUGAGAAGCUUGUCCGAAAGAUGGCACAAGAAGAAAUAACCCAAAGAGUGAAAAGCUUAGAAUGACGGUUGAAAAACAUGCGAGGGUUGGUAGGUCAGAAGAGUAUUGCCUUCAAGGAUCUAUGUAUGUUUCCUGAUGUCCACUUGCCGCCUGGUUUCAAGACUUCCAAAUUUGAAAAGUAUGCUGGAUAUGGAGACCCCAUAGCCCACCUGAAAAGGUAUUGCAAUCAACUAAGAGGUACAGGAAGAAAUGAAGAAUUGCUAAUAGCUUAUUUUGGGGAAAGCCAUAUGGGAGUAGCAUCCGAAUGGUUUUUGGAUCUAGACACAUCUCGCUGGUACAUCUGGGAUGACAUGGCACAAACCUUUGUCAAAUAGUUCCAAUUCAACAUCGACAUCUCCCCAGACUGCAAUUCCCUUUCAAACCUGAAGAAGAAACCAACUGAAAGUUUUAGGGAAUAUGCCAUUAAAUGGAGAGAACAAGCAGCUAGAGUUAAGCCACCCAUGGACGACCAUGAGUUAAUCAUUGUCUUUCUUUAGGCUCAAGAGCCAGAUUAUUUUCAAAACAUGAUGUCCACAAUGGGUAAAUCCUUCUCUGAAGCACUCAAAAUGGGGGAAAUGGUUGAGAAUGGUCUUAAAACAGGCAGAAUUAUAAGUCAAGCAACUCUCAAAGCCGCAACUCAAGCUGUCCGGUUUGAAUCGGAUAAUUUUAGUGACACGAAUGAGAAGGAUGAAGAAAUCAUUAUGACAUCAGGGUCGAGAAGAGGUCCUAGGAGAGCAUCUCGAAGGUAUGACCAGCCUCGUCUAUUUUACGAUGAUGCUUCUGAGACACUACUAUUCACCUCAAAACUCACAAUACUCUGUUGCUCCACUUCAGUAUGUUGUCCAACCACCAAAACACCCUAGAAGGUGAGCACCAGCACCGCAAAAUCUCCACCAGCCUCCACAAAAUUUUCAAGUGCCCUAUAACCCACAUCCAAGCCAGGGGUAUAGAAGAGAAUAAAGGUUGAAAGAUAAUUUUACGCCAAUAGGAGAGUCCUAUGCAAGCUUAUUUGAGAGGUUAAAGCAUUAUGACAUGAUUGCACCCAUUUCUCCAAAUCAUAUGGACCCCCGUGCAAGAAGCUUUGACCCUUCUAAAAGGUGUGAAUACCAUUCUAAUGCCCAGGAGCACAAUAUUGAGAGCUGUCGGGAUUUGAAAAGACAAAUAGAAAGGAUGAUCCAGAAAAAACUGGUUGUGAUCCAAGACAGUGACACCCAGAGUAUCAGGUAGAGUAAUUUACCUGCACAUGAUGAUGCACACUUUGUAGGGAUGAUGCCUGGUGACAUGGAGUAUGAGAAACCUCUCGGGAACUUGCCGACUGAAAUUAGAGAAGGCCAUGGUGAUUUUGAUGAGCAAAUUUGUGGCUAAAUAUCAAGCUUAGCAGUUGAAAAGUCAUUCCUUCAUCACUAGGAAGGAAUCUUGGUAGCUUGUUUUGAUGUUUUUUCUACUAUCUGGGUUAUUUCAAUGUUGUCAUCCAGAUUUAUUUGUUUUAUUGAGUCAAACCUUUCUAUACCGUCAUUCUGUUUGUACGAGUCUUGUCUGUCUGUUCUGUUGCUAUUUUUAUUAUCCGGGUUAUUUUAGGGUUGUAAUUCAAAUUUUAGGUUGUUCGUCUUGUUGUCAAACCCUUUCAUCCUUUACUCAAUAAAAUACAGUUUGUCCUUUUGUGUCAUUCUAUUCUUAGUUCUUUUCUCGCUAGUUCUAAUGACAUGACAUGCAUGCGGAAAUUUUGGCCAUAUCUUAGAAACUAAUUUAAUCUGGAAUUGGAUAGCUGAAAAAAACACUUUCGAGGAUGAAUAAUGAGUUGAAAUACUUUGGAAUUAAGGUCGAGUAAAACUCACCUUCAAAUCAUUAUGAAGAUCGGGCUUGAGGAUGUUUAAUCAAUUGAAGUCUAUUGGAAAGUUUGACAUUAGGGGAUGGAAAGUGUCUUGUGACCACGACACACCAAGAAGACAGACAUGUUCGUCAAUGCUGUGAUCGCGAAAAGAUAACACGAUUGCCAUUUCGAGGCUGGAAGGCCCUUUUUCUGCUAUCCAAAUACUUUAUACCCUUUGUCACCCCUUUGAGCCUGUGUUAUUUUCUUUAACCAUCCUCUUUUAUAAUCAAGUUUAGAGCCGAAAAAAAUAAUACAAAAAAUGAAAAAAAAGGAAAAAGAAAAAGGUUCAUGUACAAAGAGUACAAACUGGGGCAAUUCAUAGAGAGUUCAAAUGAAAACAAAUGAAGAAGAAAAGAACUAUCGAAAGUCCAUGCCCUCAUAAGAUAGAAACUGGGGCAAACAAAAGAAGAAAAAGAAAGAAAAAAAGGAAAAAAAAAAGAAAAGAAAAAAAAAACAGAAAGAAAGAUGAGAAAUAGUUUGGUCAGAUCUUUGAACUACGUUCGACCUAAUUCCUUAAUAAAGGAUACGCAGGCAGCCCUUCGGUUUGGUCCAGCCAAAAACAAUUCAAAAAAAUCCCCAAUAGCUGAAACUGGGGCGGAGAUUUUAUUGCACUUUUGAAAGAGUCGAUUCUAGGAGUUGUAAGUCCACAACCCCCUUUACUUUGAGUCUAUUUUGAGCCUUCAUGACAUCCUUUUUUUCCAAUCCUAUCAAAAAUCCUUCCAAAUAAAGACCUCCCGAUAAGCCUUCAAGAAUGUCAAGAGACGAAUACAAUGAGCAACAAUUGUCACACGACGCAGAACACCGUCGAGUAGUUCACAAAAAAGAGGGAAAGAAAAAGAAAAGAAAAAUGAGAGAGUCUUAUUAGUGAAAACCCCCAAGGACACUGUAAGAUGACGGUAAGCAGAGAUGAAUAAAUGAGAGAGACUUGUUGGUGAAACCCCUCGGGUACUACUUGUCGAAAGUGAGUCGUGAAGCUGAUGGGAAGAAUCGGCAUAAAUAAGCCCGACUACAAAGGUCAUAAGAAUGGUAAAAGGGAAGAUUGAUUUAGUUUGGUAGAUCGGCCAUUAAGUCCAAAAUGCGUGUCAUGAUCAUUAAGGCUAGUUAUUGAAAAAAAAAAAGAAAAAAAAAUAACUCUUCCUUCUAUCCUUCCGACAGAGGCAUUUCUUGUUAAUACUUGUUUCUUUGCAUCAUUGUGUCAUUCACUCUGAGUCAGUCCUGUCAAAACAAGCAAGAAAAGAUUUCAAAAUCCGCUACCAGCUUUUCAGUUGCAUCAAGUAAAUUUUGUCAGCACACUCAGUUUUCACCGUCAACGUGCCUUGAGGAUUCAUGCAAAGGCUUCCCCAAAAGACUCUUGUCAUCCUACUUGGUGCAAGCAAAGAUAACUUGUGAUUCUCUCUGACAGACAAAUUGCUCAAAAGCAGGAAGUCAUUGAAGAUAUCAGAAAAGGUCACCUGAGCAAAGAUCUCCACUCGGGAUAAGGCUGCUUGAGCCACAAAACACCAAUGGCAUUGGGAGUAAAACAAUCAGGAUUGAUACAAGAAGUAAAGGGCCCGUGAAAGCAACAGAGUCUCCCAACAGUGCAGUCAACUACCAAUGUAGUCGGUCUUCGAAAGAGGAUGGGCACAAAGCCAAACUGCUAAAGACUUCAAGGCCACAAACUGACCACCACCUUUUAAAACUGACAAAGUAUUAUUUGUUUGAAACAGAAACAAAGCAGUGCAAGGAAAGUGGUUCAAAAAAAAGAAAAAAAAGGAAAAGAAAAGGAAAACAACCAAAAAAAGAAGGAAAGAAAAGAAGAGAAGAGCCGUCAAAGGGAAGUUUCUCAAAUCUUCACCUUUAUUUGUCUUGUUAUUGUGUAUAAAAUCUUGCCAUUGAUCUUCACAUUUUGCUCCUAAGAUAAAAAAUGGACCUAGUCUAAUGAACUUUCUCCUAGGAUCAAAAUCUUAGUCUGAUGAAUUUUUCUCCUAAGAUAGAAGACCUAGUUUGAUGAACUUUCUCAUUGGAUCGAAACCUUAGUCUGAUGAAUCUUUCUCCUAAGAUAAGAAGCCUUGUCUGAUGAAUUUUCUCCUAGUAUCGAAAUCUUAGUCUGAUGACCCUUUCUCCUAAGAUAACAAAAGAAGGACCUAGUCUGAUGAACUUUCUCCUAGGAUCAAAAUCUUAGUCUGAUGAAUCUUUCUCCUAAGAUAGGAAACCUAGUCUGAUGAACUUUCUCCUACAAUCAAAAUCUUAGUCUAAUGAAUCUUUCUCCUAAGAUAAUAAAUUAGAAAACCUAGUCUGAUGAAUUUUCUCCUAGGAUAAAAUCUUAGUCUGAUGAAUUUUUCUCCUAAAAUAGGAAACCUAGUUUGAUGAAUUUUCUCCUAGGAUCAAAAUCAUAGUUUGAUGAAUCUUUCUCCUAAGAUACCAAAAAAAGUGACUAGUCUGAUUGAACUUUCUCCUACGAUCAAAAUCUUAGUCUGAUGAAUUUUUUCUUCUAAGAUAGAAGACCUAUUCUGAUGAACUUUCUCGUAGGAUAGAAAUCUUAGUCUGAUGAAUCUUUAUCCUAAGAUAAUAAAUUAGAAAACCUAAUCUGAUGAAUUUUCUCCUAGGAUAGAUGUCUUGGUCUGAUGAGUUUUUCUCCUAUGAUAUAAAAACCUAGUCUGACAAAUUUUCUCCUAGGAAAUUAAAAAAAAAGAAGAGGAUGUCUCGAUCAAAAAAAUAUUGGGGCAAUUUGUUUAAAAGAAUGAUUUUCUCAAAAGAAAAAAAAUGAUGAUGAUUUUUCUAAAAAGAAAAUAAAAAAUAAAACAAAAUCCUUCUUGAUUCAUUUUAGCAUAGGUACACAAUUUAGUAGUCUCACUUUUUCAACAUAGGGUCUCACUCCCUAGCUGAUGCCAGCAUAACCUGGUAAUCUUUUCCAACAUAGGGUCUCCACUCCCUAGUCGCUUUUCCAACAUAAGGUCUCCACUCCCUAGUUGAUUUUAUUUUAGACAUAGGGUCUUCACUCCCUAGUCGCUUUUUCAACAUAGGGUCUCUACUCCCUAGUUGAUUUUAUUUUAGAUAUAGGGUCUUCACUCCCUAUUCGCUUUUCCAACAUAGGGUCUCUACUCCCUAGUUGUUUUGUUUUAGACAUAGGGUUUCCACUCCCUAGUCGCUUUUCCAACAUAGGGUAUCCACUCCCUAGUUGAUUUUAUUUUAGACAUAGGGUCUCCACUCCCUAAUCAUUUUUCCAACAUAGGGUCUCCAUUCCCUAGUUGAAUUUAUUUUAGACAUAGGGUUUCCACUUCCUAGUCACUUUUCCAACAUAGGGUCUCCACUUCAUAGUUGAUUUCAUUUUAGAUAUAGGGUCUCCACUCCCUAAUCUCUUUUUCCCAAGGAUACAUAAUCCUGACUUUUAUUGCUUUCAAUAAAGAAGUUAGUUUCAAAUUUUGUUACAAUAACUCACAAAAUUUUUAUAGUGAAAACUGGGGCAGAAAAUUUCGUUCGUUUGUUUGUUUUGGUGUCUGAGCAAGUUUUACCUCGAGGCACAGGGUUCGAGACGCCCAAAAGAAUGAGUCUCAAUCCAGAAUAAAGAAAAAGAAGAAAAAGAAAAAGAGGUGAACUCAAAGUGUAGAAGCGGAGAAAGAUACAGACUGCUCAAAAUAUGAUUGAAUUCACAAGCUUUGCAUGUCCCGCCUUUAUCCAAAAACCUAAAGAAGAAAGAACCAGCACCUGCAGCUAACAAGCAUCAAGAUUCAGAUCAGAGUCCGCAUGAAGAACCAACUGAGACUCAAUAUCAAGCUUCAGAAGAUUCAUAGAUAGGAAUCUUGUAACUCGUAGUUGAUAGGCUUAGUUAGUCUUUUUAAUUUUGAUUUUGAUGUAAUAACGGGACUGCGGACCGGAACCUCGAUGGAACAACACCUCAAUCGACUCUCCACCUCAGUACUCCAUCACUCUUCCUAAUUCUGAACUACACAUGACCUGAUUCCUUUAUAGCCAAGGAUAUGUAGACAGCUCAGAUACCAGGGCUCGGUCACAUUCUUCUUUUUUUUAGCUUUCGGUUUCCUUAAAUAAGGGUCGGGUCAAAAAACCUGUCUAAUCAUUCUUUAUCUGAAAACUCUUCGCGUUUUCAGUCAAAGAGGGGCAGCUGUAGACAUGUGAUUUUUGACCCUCCCCAAGAUUUUUCAUAUUUUAGCACGUAAAUAUUUAAUUUAGGCUUAAAAUAGCUAUUUCAACUAAAUUUUACUCUGUUACUUUAUUUUAAUAACAAGAAAAUGAAAAUUAAAAAAAAUAGUUUCAUUAAUUGUAAUCAUUUUUAAUCUUGAAAAAUACCAAAAAUAGUUUUGUUUUAAAGGUCAAUAUUAUUUUAACAGUUAUUUUAGUUAAGUAGGACUAAUUAAUUAAUGAGAUCGUAUUUUAAUCUCGUUCGCAAGGAAAGAAUAAAACUUGGGCUCGAGCAACCCAUUUUAGGCCUAAUUUUUGGACCUAGCCCAUCAUUUCUAGUCUCAUACUCAUAACCUAAUUCCUACCCCCUAUAAAAUAACACUAACACCCUAGACUCUACACACAACCCAAUCCGCCACUUCUCUGAAAAGAUGGAAGAAAAGAAAAAAAUAAAAAAUGAAAGACCUAUCUUCACACAAAUGACAAUCAGCGAAAAAAAGGAAACAAAAAAGAACGAAAUCCAAGGGAAAAGAUGAAGGGGCAGCGCCAUUUUCUUAAAACAUUUCGUCAGCUGCAAUUCCAAACAAAGAGAAGCCUUCAGCCGUUUUUUCAACCAAACACAAUAGACCCCCCAUUUUCCAAAAGCUUCAGCCGAUUACAAAAUUGCAAAAUCUCAAAGCUUCAUUCUCGAAAUUUACGGAAGCCCACGCACACAAACAUAACAAAAAAAAGACGAGAAAAGCAGGUGGCGAAACAGAAACGGAAAAUACAAAGACGAUAUGAAUUGACAAUGAGAGACAACACUUUGGAAAAGAGGAUUCCAUUGAUUUUCUCAUUAUUAAAACCAUUAUAACAAAGAGCCUCCAAGGCUUUUCAUAAAGUGAGAAAUCAAUUUGAGGAUGAGCAACAAAAAAAUAUGAUUUGGUUGAGAGAUCCGAUUUUUGAAAAAUCUGGUAGUCGAGUUCCUAUUCGAGGCUGUAGGUUCGUUGGUUCCAUCGAUUGUUCGCGGUUUCUAUCACAGAUUUGGAGUAUUUUCAGUCGAGUUAGCGGCAUCAGAUUCAUUUGUAACUGUUGGAUUUUCUCUUGUUUAAUAAAGAAGUCUCGCACCAGAGGUUCCACUCUUAUCCUUCUCUUAUUUCAAGUAUAACUCCAUGUGUUGUUAUGUGAUAUUAAACAUGAUAUUGACC